This 233-nucleotide ribosomal RNA is filed under the name Flavobacteriaceae bacterium N1-20R2A. RNAcentral describes it as "partial 16S ribosomal RNA". It matches the Rfam family "Bacterial small subunit ribosomal RNA", at positions 459 to 691 of the family's 1533-position model. The record is from RNAcentral. Lineage: Bacteria; Pseudomonadati; Bacteroidota; Flavobacteriia; Flavobacteriales; Flavobacteriaceae.
GUUUAAGUAGCUGUAGCUAACAGAUAAACAAGCGCUAACUUAGUCCCUGCCAGCAGCGGAAUUAAUAGGGAGGGAGCGAUAGUUAUCAGUAUUUGGUGGAAAGAAAGGGUCGGUAGGCGGAUAAAUAAGUCAGUGAAGAAAUCGGACAGACCAAGGGUCGAACGUCCAUUGAUACUGUUAGUAAUGAGUAAGGUUGAAGUGGAAGGAAUAAGUAGUGUAGCGGUGAAAUGCAU